Molecule: long non-coding RNA, 353 nt
Organism: Helianthus annuus (common sunflower)
Lineage: Eukaryota; Viridiplantae; Streptophyta; Magnoliopsida; Asterales; Asteraceae
Exons: 3
Source: RefSeq, a predicted model, not a curated record
CACCAUUCUAAACAUCCCAAACACUCUUUCUGUUCAUCAACUCGACGGAGCAAGAGGAAUCAACUCGUACUGCCGCCAGAGAAGACGACCGGAGUUCGAUGGAACUCCACUCCGUCCCUGUUGCGACGUUACCGGAGAGUACCUGCAAGUGGCCGGAGCUCGCAUCGAUACCGGGAUCCACCGGAGUUUACGACAGAAACCAACUGUUUCGGUUGAUAGUCAAGAUGAUGAAGGAAUCAAGUUAGGACGGUCUAGAUACGCAUUUUAAUAAUAAACCAUGUUUGUUGAAAUUUGUCUUUAUUUGAAACAAUGUAUUUGAAUUUAGCCAUUUAUGAAAUUUGAUUUAAUCUAUA